CCUACUGUGUGCUGCAGUGGGGAAUAUUGGGCAAUGUGCGCAAGCCUGACCCAGCAACGCCGCGUGAAGGAAGCAGGCUUUCGGGUUGUAAACUUCUUUUAAGAGGGAAGAGCAGAAGACGGUACCUCUUGAAUAAGCAACGGCUAACUAAGUGCCAGCAGCCGCGGUAAUACGUAGGUGGCAAGCGUUGUCCGGAUUUACUGGGUGUAAAGGGCGUGCAGCCGGGUAGACAAGUCAGGUGUGAAAUCCCGCGGCUCAACCGCGGAACUGCAGUUGAAACUGUUUUUCUUGAGUACCGGAGAGGUCAUCGGAAUUCCUUGUGUAGCGGUGAAAUGCGUAGAUAUAAGGAAGAACAACAGUGGCGAAGGCGGAUGACUGGACGGCAACUGACGGUGAGGCGCGAAAGCGUGGGGAGCAAACAGGAUUAGAUACCCCUGUAGUC
This 442-nucleotide ribosomal RNA is filed under the name uncultured bacterium. RNAcentral's name for it is "partial 16S ribosomal RNA". It matches the Rfam family "Bacterial small subunit ribosomal RNA", at positions 338 to 795 of the family's 1533-position model. The record is from RNAcentral.